Molecule: ribosomal RNA, 270 nt
Filed under: uncultured archaeon
Lineage: Archaea
Description: partial 16S ribosomal RNA
Rfam family: Archaeal small subunit ribosomal RNA
Source: RNAcentral
CAGCACCUCAAGUGGACAGGAUGAUUAUUGGGCCUAAAGCAUCCGUAGCCGGCGCUGUAAGUUUUCGGUUAAAUCUGUACGCUCAACGUACAGGCUGCCGGGAAUACUGCAGCGCUAGGGAGUGGGAGAGGUAGACGGUACUCGGUAGGAAGGGGUAAAAUCCUUUGAUCUAUUGAUGACCACCUGUGGCGAAGGCGGUCUACCAGAACACGUCCGACGGUGAGGGAUGAAAGCUGGGGGAGCAAACCGGAUUAGAUACCCGAGUAGUCC